GAUGAACGCUGGCGGCGUGCCUAAUACAUGCAAGUCGAGCGAACGGACGAGAAGCUUGCUUUUCUGAUGUUAGCGGCGGACGGGUGAGUAACACGUGGAUAACCUACCUAUAAGACUGGGAUAACUUCGGGAAACCGGAGCUAAUACCGGAUAAUAUUUUGAACCGCAUGGUUCAAAAGUGAAAGACGGUCUUGCUGUCACUUAUAGAUGGAUCCGCGCUGCAUUAGCUAGUUGGUAAGGUAACGGCUUACCAAGGCAACGAUGCAUAGCCGACCUGAGAGGGUGAUCGGCCACACUGGAACUGAGACACGGUCCAGACUCCUACGGGAGGCAGCAGUAGGGAAUCUUCCGCGAUGGGCGAAAGCCUGACGGAGCAACGCCGCGUGAGUGAUGAAGGUCUUCGGAUCGUAAAACUCUGUUAUUAGGGAAGAACAUAUGUGUAAGUAACUGUGCACAUCUUGACGGUACCUAAUCAGAAAGCCACGGCUAACUACGUGCCAGCAGCCGCGGUAAUACGUAGGUGGCAAGCGUUAUCCGGAAUUAUUGGGCGUAAAGCGCGCGUAGGCGGUUUUUUAAGUCUGAUGUGAAAGCCCACGGCUCAACCGUGGAGGGUCAUUGGAAACUGGAAAACUUGAGUGCAGAAGAGGAAAGUGGAAUUCCAUGUGCAGCGGUGAAAUGCGCAGAGAUGUGGAGGAACACCAGUGGCGAAGGCGACUUUCUGGUCUGUAACUGACGCUGAUGUGCGAAAGCGUGGGGAUCAAACAGGAUUAGAUACCCUGGUAGUCCACGCCGUAAACGAUGAGUGCUAAGUGUUAGGGGGUUUCCGCCCCUUAGUGCUGCAGCUAACGCAUUAAGCACUCCGCCUGGGGAGUACGACCGCAAGGUUGAAACUCAAAGGAAUUGACGGGGGCCCGCACAAGCGGUGGAGCAUGUGGUUUAAUUCGAAGCAACGCGAAGAACCUUACCAAAUCUUGACAUCCUUUGACAACUCUAGAGAUAGAGCCUUCCCCUUCGGGGGACAAAGUGACAGGUGGUGCAUGGUUGUCGUCAGCUCGUGUCGUGAGAUGUUGGGUUAAGUCCCGCAACGAGCGCAACCCUUAAGCUUAGUUGCCAUCAUUAAGUUGGGCACUCUAAGUUGACUGCCGGUGACAAACCGGAGGAAGGUGGGGAUGACGUCAAAUCAUCAUGCCCCUUAUGAUUUGGGCUACACACGUGCUACAAUGGACAAUACAAAGGGCAGCGAAACCGCGAGGUCAAGCAAAUCCCAUAAAGUUGUUCUCAGUUCGGAUUGUAGUCUGCAACUCGACUACAUGAAGCUGGAAUCGCUAGUAAUCGUAGAUCAGCAUGCUACGGUGAAUACGUUCCCGGGUCU
RNAcentral lists this ribosomal RNA (1372 nucleotides) under uncultured bacterium. Its description in RNAcentral is "bacterial SSU rRNA". It matches the Rfam family "Bacterial small subunit ribosomal RNA", at positions 28 to 1381 of the family's 1533-position model. The record is from RNAcentral.